This 2318-nucleotide small RNA is filed under the name Manduca sexta (tobacco hornworm). RNAcentral describes it as "uncharacterized LOC115442039". The record is from RNAcentral. Lineage: Eukaryota; Metazoa; Arthropoda; Insecta; Lepidoptera; Sphingidae.
UGUGUCGCGACCCCUGCAAUACGGGGCCGUACGUUAUCAACACUCUGUGGUCAGUUAUUCUUGAAUAUUCUCGUGAACAGCAUGAGAUUACUAUUGUUAACAUUUGUAUUGCAUACGGCGUUUGCGCAACCUGGUUUUGGCAGGUCGUAUCUGAGAAAUUCACGGCUUUGCCACGAAUGGAGUUGCGUAAAUACGAAGCUGGGUUUGCCAGACGCCCUUCCAGAAAGAGACGGGUACGCAGCGGUCAUCAAGAGUCUUUUGCCGGAGGGCGCGUGGCGUGACAUUGUGGACCCUGCUCUAGACGUCUGCUAUGGCAUUAGAACUAGAAGAUACACUAACACGUGUCCUGGACAGGCGUUGAUGCAUUGCCUGGUUGAUCAGUUCAUUGAGCACUGUCCAGAUGAGAGUUUGCGAAAAGAUGACGCUUGCUCUCCCGUCUCGUCGCUUGCUGGGGUGAAAUACAUGUUCUCACAAAGCUUGUACGAAAACAUGGAGAAGAACUUGCCUUUAGAACGUCGGCCAGUCUGGUUUUUGAAAAAUUAUUUUAAGACGAAAUGCUGCCGCAUCCCGCCGUUCAUCAACACCACGAUUCUGACUGAAUGUGGCUUCUCAAGUCUUAUGCAGUACUAUACCCACGCACCGCAAUAUGGAACCACUAUUGCUUAUCCUAUGGUCCAUUUCGCGCCGAUUCAAGCGCCACCUACCGACGAAAAAGAUAAAGUACAUGUUGUAGACCUCAACGACGUCACUGAAGCACCUGAGGAUGUUACAGAUCCUCUAGAGUGUUGCAACAUGGAUGAGUUCAUCAAACCGGCCUGGAGGUCCGAGUGUCAGUUCGAACUGACGUGGAACGAUCAGUCCAGAUUGUCAAUAGUUGACAAACCCGCCGCCACCACUCCAGCGCCCUCUACCACUCAUAGACCAGCGAGAGAAAGAGAUAUCAUGGUUGUGCCACAAUCUUGUGAACAAGAAACCUGCGUUUUUAAGAAGUUGAAUAUAAUAUCCGACUCAGGCGCAGUAGAUAUGGACGCUUUCCUUGAAACUCCUGGACAACUUCACCGACGCGCAGCCGACGUGGAUGAAAGCCAAGGCUAGGGUGGUCACCACCUGCCUCACGAAGCCGCUGAGGGACUAUGACGCUGAAUGCGAUAUAAAUAAUGUCUUGGCGUGUACAUUCGACGUACUUACUGAGAACUGUCCUCUAACAAAGAAGAUUAAUUUAUGCAAACAUUCCAAGGACAACAGGGUGUGCCAAAUCAGUUCGUCUAAAUCCCGUCCAAAACACCGGCGUGACACAUGUUUCCUGCCCGAGAUAGUGAGUCGUGAGGUGCUGACGGAAUGCGGCUUGAAGUCUCUCACGCGAGUGGAGCAAGCGCCAGAGACACCGGUCGUCAAUAGAAAGAAGACUUUCGCGCUGGCUAAAUACUCGUGCAUAGACCAAACCCCACCCACAGGAUGUCUUAUGGGCAAGAUGGGCGUCCUCAGCAGGUACGGCUUCAUGGACCACUUCCAGAUGAAAGACCGCAUCCGCAAGUUCAGCAACGGCUUCGACGAGUGGAAGCCAUGGACUGAUGUCUACCUCGGCGCCUUUACCAACAUACCUCUAUACAGGGACUAUUGCAACUCGCCUAAGAAACUGUUGAAUCUCCUUGACGCUAUGAUUAUGACAUGCCCAGUAUCAAGAAGGAAGGACACGCCGCAGUGCGCUAAAGUCUUCACAGAGAUGACGCACUCCAUCCCAGUACAUGAGCAGAACAUAACAAAGGUGAAACUCGACCGAAUUUUGAACCACUUCCACCACGUUUUCUGGCCGGUCUCAACACAAGGCAAUCAUGCAUCUCAAAAACACUACAAAAUUGUCAAAAGCCAAUCUACGAUUAUGGAAUUUUAAAGUCCAAGAAUGAACCAAAAGUCCAGAUCAUUGAUGUGAAGCCGGUGCCUAAAAAGCCGUUGGUACUUGUUCCAGUUUAUUUGAGGUUGCCAGCGCAAAAUAACCUUUCGCGACCAUAUGCCAACGAUGGUGUUUGGAGAAGUAACCCGUUUUGGUUGCAUACUCAAAUUGCGCUGGCUCAUUUGAAUACUACCACUACCGCUUCUGCCAAUCCUACCAUUGCUACAAAAACUACUACACCCACAGCCUGAAUUCUAUAUACAAAAAUAUUUUGUACAGGUUCAAUGUACUUUAACUUGUGAAAUAACCAUAAAUAGGUAUAUAUUUUUGUGAAAUUAUCACGUACAAAAAUAAUGAUGUUAUAAGAAUUUCUAAUACGGAAUUUAUAAUAAAUAUUUUUUAACAGUUGGGCUCCACGAUAUUCGUG